ACUUACCAAACCGAUGCAAACUCCGAAUACCAAUGAGUACUAUCCGGGAGACAGACUGCGGGUGCUAACGUCCGUAGUCAAGAGGAAAACAAUCCAGACCGCCAGCUAAGGCCCCAAAAUUAUAGUUAAGUGGGAAACGAUGUGGGAAGGCAUAGACAGCUAGGAGGUUGGCUUAGAAGCAGCCAUCCUUUAAAGAAAGCGUAAUAGCUCACUAGUCGAGUCGGCCUGCGCGGAAGAUGUAACGGGGCUAAAACUAUAUGCCGAAGCUGCGGAUUUGCAAUUUAUUGCAAGUGGUAGGGGAGCGUUCUGUAAGCCGAUGAAGGUGUAUUGAGAAGUAUGCUGGAGGUAUCAGAAGUGCGAAUGCUGACAUGAGUAGCGUUAAAGCGGGUGAAAAGCCCGCUCGCCGGAAGACCAAGGGUUCCUGUCCAACGUUAAUCGGGGCAGGGUGAGUCGACCCCUAAGGCGAGGCUGAAAAGCGUAGUCGAUGGAAAACAGGUUAAUAUUCCUGUACUUCCAGUUAUUGCGAUGGAGGGACGGAGAAGGCUAGGCCAGCUUGGCGUUGGUUGUCCAAGUUUAAGGUGGUAGGCUGAAAUCUUAGGCAAAUCCGGGAUUUCAAGGCCGAGAGCUGAUGACGAGUGCUCAUUAGAGCGCGAAGUGGUUGAUGCCAUGCUUCCAGGAAAAGCCUCUAAGCUUCAGAUUACAAGUCAUCGUACCCCAAACCGACACAGGUGGUCAGGUAGAGAAUACUAAGGCGCUUGAGAGAACUC
This 767-nucleotide ribosomal RNA is filed under the name Thalassiosira minuscula. RNAcentral describes it as "partial Bacterial large subunit ribosomal RNA". It matches the Rfam family "Bacterial large subunit ribosomal RNA", at positions 934 to 1701 of the family's 2925-position model. The record is from RNAcentral. Lineage: Eukaryota; Bacillariophyta; Thalassiosirophyceae; Thalassiosirales; Thalassiosiraceae.